CCUGGGAACAAGCUCCCAACCCCCUGAUCCAGGAGCAAGGACCGUUCCCUACAAAACGAGGCCCUUUUUAUGGCUCCAGGGCUGAGAUCCAGCCCUUCCCCUGUCCCUUGGAAACCCAGCCAGUCGUUUGGGCCAGUGCUUUGACUGCAGCCCAGCACCACAGUGCCACAGAAUCCUGGGGAUGUUGCUGGUGUGAAUGGUCCUCCAGGAACCCAUCAGAGGAAAGUUUGGAAUGCUUCCAGUCUGAGACCACAGCAAGGUGACCCUGGAGAAGGUGCUGGUGUUCCCUUGUUCUCAGUUUUGCAGCUUGAAAUACUUCCCUCAGUUCCUGCUGCUGCCUUCCUCUGCAAGCUCGAGUGUGAGCUGGAGUCCCAUGGAAAGUGGUGAGAUUAAACUGUGUGCCAGGAGAGCUUUGCUGGUUAGAGCUGGUUUGUCCAUAGAACAGGACC
Molecule: long non-coding RNA, 449 nt
Organism: Empidonax traillii (willow flycatcher)
Lineage: Eukaryota; Metazoa; Chordata; Aves; Passeriformes; Tyrannidae
Exons: 3
Source: RefSeq, a predicted model, not a curated record